UGGGUUGUAGCUCAGUGGUAGAGUACUUGCUGGGCACAUGUGAGGCACUGGGUUCGAUCCCCAGCAGCACAU
Molecule: transfer RNA, 72 nt
Filed under: Marmota marmota marmota (Alpine marmot)
Lineage: Eukaryota; Metazoa; Chordata; Mammalia; Rodentia; Sciuridae
Also listed under: 1 other name
Rfam family: tRNA
About the family: Transfer RNA (tRNA) molecules are approximately 80 nucleotides in length. Their secondary structure includes four short double-helical elements and three loops (D, anti-codon, and T loops).
Source: Rfam by way of RNAcentral